AAUGAACGCUGGCGGCAUGCCUAACACAUGCAAGUCGAACGAAGGCUUCGGCCUUAGUGGCGCACGGGUGCGUAACGCGUGGGGAUCUGCCCUCAGGUUCGGAAUAACAGCGAGAAAUUGCUGCUAAUACCGGAUGAUAUCGCGAGAUCAAAGAUUUAUCGCCUGAGGAUGAGCCCGCGUAGGAUUAGCUAGGUGGUGUGGUAAAGGCGCACCAAGGCGACGAACCUUAGCUGGUCUGAGAGGAUGAUCAGCCACACUGGGGCUGAGACACGGCCCAGACUCCUACGGGAGGCAGCAGUGGGGAAUAUUGGACAAUGGGCGAAAGCCUGAUCCAGCAAUGCCGCGUGAGUGAUGAAGGCCUUAGGGUUGUAAAGCUCUUUUACCCGGGAUGAUAAUGACAGUACCGGGAGAAUAAGCUCCGGCUAACUCCGUGCCAGCCGCCGCCGUAA
Molecule: ribosomal RNA, 449 nt
Filed under: uncultured bacterium
Lineage: Bacteria
Description: partial 16S ribosomal RNA
Rfam family: Bacterial small subunit ribosomal RNA
Source: RNAcentral